ACAAGCGGAGGAGCAUGUGGUUUAAUUCGAUGAUACGCGAGGAACCUUACCUGGGCUCGAACGUAAGAUGACUGUAGGUGAAAGCUUACAUCUCUUCGGAGCAUUUUACGAGGUGCUGCAUGGUUGUCGUCAGCUCGUGCCGUGAGGUGUCGGGUUAAGUCCCGCAACGAGCGCAACCCCUACGCUGAGUUACCAGCACGUAAAGGUGGGGACUCUCAGUGGACUGCCGGCGACAAGCCGGAGGAGGGUGGGGACGACGUCAAGUCAUCAUGGCCCUCAUGUCCAGGGCGACACACGUGCUACAAUGGCCGGUACAGAGCGCAGCGAGGCCGCGAGGCGGAGCGAAUCGCUUAAAGCCGGUCCCAGUACGGAUUGGAGUCUGCAACCCGACUCCAUGAAGUUGGAAUCGCUAGUAAUCGCGCAUCAGCAUGGCGCGGUGAAUACGUUCCCGGGCCUU
Molecule: ribosomal RNA, 457 nt
Filed under: uncultured Sphingobacteriales bacterium
Lineage: Bacteria; Pseudomonadati; Bacteroidota; Sphingobacteriia; Sphingobacteriales
Description: bacterial SSU rRNA
Rfam family: Bacterial small subunit ribosomal RNA
Source: RNAcentral